RNAcentral lists this non-coding RNA (43 nucleotides) under Trypanosoma brucei brucei. Lineage: Eukaryota; Euglenozoa; Kinetoplastea; Trypanosomatida; Trypanosomatidae. The record is from RNAcentral.
AAACUCAUACGUGUAUCAGAUAGACAUAGAGAUAGAUGAUUAU